RNAcentral lists this ribosomal RNA (253 nucleotides) under uncultured bacterium. RNAcentral's name for it is "partial 16S ribosomal RNA". It matches the Rfam family "Bacterial small subunit ribosomal RNA", at positions 524 to 776 of the family's 1533-position model. The record is from RNAcentral.
UACAGAGGGCGCGAGCGUUGUCCGGAAUCAUUGGGCGUAAAGCGCGUGUAGGCGGCCCGGUAAGUCCGCUGUAAAAGUCCAGGGCUCAACCCUGGAAGGCCGGUGGAUACUGUCGGGCUCGAGUCCGGAAGAGGCGAGUGGAAUUCCUGGUGUAGCGGUGAAAUGCGCAGAUAUCAGGAGGAACACCAAUGGCGAAGGCAGCUCGCUGGGACGGUACUGACGCUGAGACGCGAAAGCGUGGGGAGCAAACAGG